This 645-nucleotide ribosomal RNA is filed under the name uncultured bacterium. Its description in RNAcentral is "bacterial SSU rRNA". It matches the Rfam family "Bacterial small subunit ribosomal RNA", at positions 8 to 656 of the family's 1533-position model. The record is from RNAcentral.
AGAGUUUGAUCAUGGCUCAGGACGAACGCUGGCGGCGUGCUUAACACAUGCAAGUCGAACGGAAAGGCCCCUUUGGGGGUGCUCGAGUGGCGAACGGGUGAGUAACACGUGGGUGAUCUGCCCUGCACUUCGGGAUAAGCUUGGGAAACUGGGUCUAAUACCGGAUAGGACCACGGCCUGCAUGGGUUGUGGUGGAAAGCUUUUGCGGUGUGGGAUGGGCCCGCGGCCUAUCAGCCUGUUGGUGGGGUGAUGGCCUACCAAGGCGACGACGGGUAGCCGGCCUGAGAGGGUGUCCGGCCACACUGGGACUGAGAUACGGCCCAGACUCCUACGGGAGGCAGCAGUGGGGAAUAUUGCACAAUGGGCGCAAGCCUGAUGCAGCGACGCCGCGUGGGGGAUGACGGCCUUCGGGUUGUAAACCUCUUUCACCAUCGACGAAGGCCCGCUUUUGGUGGGUUGACGGUAGGUGGAGAAGAAGCACCGGCCAACUACGUGCCAGCAGCCGCGGUAAUACGUAGGGUGCGAGCGUUGUCCGGAAUUACUGGGCGUUAAGAGCUCGUAGGUGGUUUGUCGCGUUUUUCGUGAAAUUUCCCUGGCUUAACUGGGGGCGUGCGGGCGAUACGGGCAGACUGGAGUACUGCAGGU